This is a long non-coding RNA of Olea europaea var. sylvestris, 416 nucleotides long. RefSeq lists it as uncharacterized. NCBI's taxonomy places the organism in Eukaryota, Viridiplantae, Streptophyta, Magnoliopsida, Lamiales, Oleaceae. The record is from RefSeq and is a predicted model, not a curated record. The transcript has 3 exons.
AGUUUUUUUUUCCAAAUACAGAGAAAUAUGUUUCAUUACUCAUUGAAGAUGAUGACGCUGAAGUUGUAGAGAAAAGAAAUAAGGAUAAUCUAAUUAGCGUUGCAUCAAGUGAAAAGGAUUUGGAACGUACCCCUUUUUAUUUUUUGGUUUACUUACCGGACCAAGUUUAAGAAGAGGAAAUUUAUAGGACCGGAGAUUGCUAUUAAGGUCAUUCUAAAAGCGAGGUAUAAAAAUGGCUUCGAUGUCUAAGAAAAAUAAAAGACGAAGAGAAGUGUACAAUGACAGUGCGAAAUUGGAUAUUGACAUACAGACGCCGAAGAGAAAGUCUCUACGUUUUGUCCAGCUGGAAGCUGCUGGUGUCACCGGUUCAGAUUCAAUUUCUCUCUUUCCUAAUUCUGAAAUUGAAGACAAUCAAG